Mauremys reevesii (Reeves's turtle) is the source of this 469-nucleotide long non-coding RNA. RefSeq lists it as uncharacterized. The transcript is spliced from 3 exons. Lineage: Eukaryota; Metazoa; Chordata; Testudines; Geoemydidae. The record is from RefSeq and is a predicted model, not a curated record.
CCAUUUCUGGAGGCUGAGCAUUCUUGGACUGUCCAAUCAUCUCUCAAGGAAACCCUAUAGCUCGAGUUAUUUGAAAACUGGUGUGGACGAUGCCUUGGAGAACACGCUGCAGGGAACAAUCCUGAGCCGUGGAGCAGGGGUAAGGGAGGGGGCAUCCUUAUGUGAAAAGCACCUGCACCCCAGAAAUGUGGGCACCCCCAGGCUGUGGGCUGCCACUUGGCCAGAGAGCACCCAAAUCUAGCCUCAAUGUCUCCUGGCGCGGGGUGGGGAGAAGCUGGGACAAUGGAAGGAGGAGGAUGAGCCAAGAUUUCCCAAGAAGCGGCGCUCUGGUGCCUGGAGGCAGGGAUCGAUCUCCAGCCAUUCGGUCCCUGAGCUGGGAUCGGCAGCCCACGAGCUCCCGUGGGCGCUGAACGCCGCCUGCUCCGCUGUCCAGGGCGUGUACUGCCCCAUGGCGUUCACCUCGUGCCAG